UGCCUUGUAUCUGGUGAGAGACUUGCUGUUGCUGUUAUUUUCUCCAGAGAAUUCUAAGAGAUUACAAAGACCUGAGGAGACUUUUUGAAAAAAUGUGCAUAAACUGAUUGGAUUCAACAAUCUAACUUCCUCUGGGGCUACUGAAAUGAGACUGCCCCACCUCUUCCCUGGAGGCUUCCAGCUCUGUCAUGGCCCUCCAGUGACUUCCUGUUGACAGUGUCCUUGGGAUGGAAUCACUCCAUCAACUCCUCUAAAGGACAGUUUCAAAACCCCAUGGUUCUUCUGCUAAUCUGUAGCAACACUUGGCUACCCAAACGACUGGAGGCAUAAACCGACCUGGAGACUUGGGAAUCGGGACAAUGAGGAGUCUGCCCUGUUGCCUUUGGAAAUCCUCUUCUGAACUUCUGCAUGAGAGAGCAGCGAUAUUUCAUUUCUGGGGGUAACUGAGAUGCAGUGGUGACAGCGGACCUGCUCCACUGUGCCUUCCAGUUGCCUUUGGGGUCAGGUUCCAAUGCUGAGCACGCCCACGAGCGCUGCUGGUCAGCCUCUUUUCCAGCCAUCCUCCACAGGCCCCCAGGGUUCCUCAAGAGCAAACGUCACCAACUCAGGCUGACUCAUAUAAGGUGGUACAGCUUCCUCCCCAUUCACUGGAACACUCACAUUGGGAGCCUGGGGAAGCCACGUAGGAAGUCUGACCAGCACGAGGCCGCCAUGCUGUGUGGAAACCCAAGUCACACUGUGAGGCUCUGCGUAGCUGCCCCGGUUAACCAUCCCAGCUGAGCUCAGCCUGAGUCACUCGCCUCCAGACACCAGACAUGUGAGUGAAGGAGCCUCCAGGUAAUUAUCCUGCCCCAAGCCAUUCUACUUGUCCCAUCUGAAGCCGUGACAUCGUGAAACAGACGCUAGCCAUCCUCUCUGUACCCUUUCCAAAUUAUCUGUAAGAAUAAUUAAAUCAUUGUUGUUUUACACCACUAAGUUUAAGGACAUUUCUUAAGCAACAUUAAUAACCAAAACACUAACUGAACCCCAAUUCACCCUCCACUGCAUGUUUAUGUCCUGGAGGAGAGGAUGUGGCCCUUUCUCGGCUGCUGAGGGGGAUUGUCGGUUCCAAGUGCUUCUUGCCGUCUUACAAAGGAAACCUGCUGAAUCAUCAGUGGUGGACAAAUACCGUGGCUGGAGCUGACGUUUGAUGGUGUUCCUGGUGGAGGAGGCCACUGUCCGUUCAACCUUUAGGCCUUCGUGGAGGGGUGGGUACUAGAAACUUUCAGUUUCCGUAUGCAGCCUGCGUUACACUUCUGGACAGUGCUGUCACCGAAUGAGGAUCUCAGAGAUUGUCUAUUGUGACCACCCUGUAGAAACUGGAUGGACCUCAACCCAAAAUUUGGCUCAGAUGUUGAGACUGAUUAUGUCACAUAUCAAGAGGAGAUGAAAAGUGUCUCAUGGAAAGCCACCUUGGAGGACAAGAAGAUUCUUUCUCCAGGAGAUGGUCUUUGUGUUUUGUGGAUCUGCUGGGAAGGAGGAAAUGCUGAAAGCUGGCGGUCAGGUGCUGCCUGGGCCCCCAGGGACUCUGGCUCCUAGAGCAGCCCCAGGCCGACUUGGCUGAUGUUUGCUGACAAGCUGGCUCAGGAAAGUGACUUGAAAAGUAAAUACUAACUCAACACAAAAUGAAAAGGAAACGAAGAGUCUGAAAAAAAACCAAAAACACAAACAAAUCCGUGAGAAGAGAGUGGGCAUUGUGCGCUCCCUCUUUUUGACAUCAAAGUGUCUUUGAAUGGAGCCAGGAAGCUCUCACAUCUUUAAAUCCACGUUUACUUGAGGUUUGAAAACUUCCAAGAGAGGUUAGCAGUCCGGGGACAGAGGGCUCCCACUGCACCACAGGAGCAGAGCUUAAAUGCUUUACAAAGAAAAGGGAACACACUCGUUGGGGUUUGUUUUAAUCCUUCCAGGAGAGUGGUGUGGAGUGUACAGCAUGCAUUUGGAAGCCCGAGUACUUAAACACACAUCUGGGAAGGUUCAGAAUCUUCGCCUGGUUCUCGGUGUCUCUGAAGUGUUAGUAGUCCAGUGUCUUGUUUAUUGUGCCACACAAAAAUAAAUCUGAAUCUGUUUUGAUUUUUCUGAUUCUCUUCCACUCUGGAAGUAGAGCAGCCUUUUUGGUGGAAGUGACUUGCAUAAAGUCUCAAAUAAUUACCAAUUCCAGCUGACACUCGCUGGGACCCUGGAACUCGCUCCAUCUGCUGCCUUCCAGGAAGAACAAAGGAUGGAAGGAGUUGCUGGAGAACCAGAGAAAGAGCGCCUCCUAUAUUAUGGCCAACACAGAGAAUUCCAUAAAGAUUUGCAUGUGGAGUCAGCCCACAAUUGUCUGGCGAAUGGGAGAAGAUAGAUAUGAAAAGUAAUUUUACCAGACCAACUUAGACGGCAGUUCUGGGAUGCACCGGUGGAUUCUUGGUCCAGACGUGGAACCUGUUUUUUAAGUUCAAGAUGAGUUUAACCACAACCCAGGUGAGAUCGACGGGCAGCCAACAAAGGAUGGCUCAGCCCAUCCAAUCAAAAGACGUCAAAGCUAGACCAUGAGGAGGUCGAGGGAACUACUCCAAUAAAAGUUCAUGAAGGCCCUUGUCCAGUUUCCAGACUUGAGCCAGUUUUUGGACAGAACCUGUUGACUGAAGGAAAGGCAGAUUCUCCAGGACGAAGGAACUUGCAACACCACGCAGUCCCCUCCAGCAUCGACUCUGAGCUUGGGAAAAUGGAUGUGGGCAGGCAUGAUGCAAGCAAAGGCUGAGAAGAGUCUGCACGUGGUGGCUUGUCUUCUUGGAGUGCUUGCUCUGGGGAUCUGUUAGCCAUGGAAAGAAGCUCUAGGUAGCCACAUGAAGAGACGACACGGAAAGAGAGGCCCCAGCCUGCCAGCCCUCCCUGCUAAUGUGCCCACCACAUGAGCGAAGCUGUCUUGGACAUUCCUGCCAUCUGACUGCAUCUGCUUGAGAGACUCCAAGCAAGACCAGCAGAAGAACGAUCCAGUUCAGCCCUGUGAACCCACGCGUUGGUUCUAAGUAAUAAAAUGGU
RNAcentral lists this long non-coding RNA (3060 nucleotides) under Equus caballus (horse). RNAcentral describes it as "lncRNA (ENSECAG00000055163.1)". The record is from RNAcentral. Lineage: Eukaryota; Metazoa; Chordata; Mammalia; Perissodactyla; Equidae.